GAUGAACGCUGGCGGCGUGCCUAAUACAUGCAAGUCGAGCGAACAGACGAGGAGCUUGCUCCUCUGACGUUAGCGGCGGACGGGUGAGUAACACGUGGAUAAUCUACCUAUAAGACUGGGAUAACUUCGGGAAACCGGAGCUAAUACCGGAUAAUAUAUUGAACCGCAUGGUUCAAUAGUGAAAGACGGUUUUGCUGUCACUUAUAGAUGGAUCCGCGCCGCAUUAGCUAGUUGGUAAGGUAACGGCUUACCAAGGCAACGAUGCGUAGCCGACCUGAGAGGGUGAUCGGCCACACUGGAACUGAGACACGGUCCAGACUCCUACGGGAGGCAGCAGUAGGGAAUCUUCCGCAAUGGGCGAAAGCCUGACGGAGCAACGCCGCGUGAGUGAUGAAGGUCUUCGGAUCGUAAAACUCUGUUAUUAGGGUAGAACAAAUGUGUAAGUAACUAUGCACGUCUUGACGGUACCUAAUCAGAAAGCCACGGCUAACUACGUG
RNAcentral lists this ribosomal RNA (497 nucleotides) under uncultured bacterium. RNAcentral describes it as "partial 16S ribosomal RNA". It matches the Rfam family "Bacterial small subunit ribosomal RNA", at positions 28 to 507 of the family's 1533-position model. The record is from RNAcentral.